AGAGCGAACGUUAGCGGCGGGCCUAACACAUGCAAGUCGAGCGAGAAAGUCUCCUUCGGGGGGCGAUUAAAGCGGCGAACGGGUGAGUAACACGUGGGUAAUCUACCCCUUGGCGCGGGACAACAGUUCGAAAGGGCUGCUAAUACCGCAUAAGUCGGCGAAGUCUUCGGACAUCGUCGGGAAAGGAGGGCCUCUGCAUAUGCUCUCGCCGAGGGAGGAGCUCGCGUCCCAUCAGCUUGUUGGUGAGGUAAUGGCUCACCAAGGCAGAGACGGGUAGCUGGUCUGAGAGGAUGAUCAGCCACACUGGGACUGAGAUACGGCCCAGACUCCUACGGGAGGCAGCAGUGGGGAAUAUUGGACAAUGGGCGAAAGCCUGAUCCAGCCACGCCGCGUGUGGGAUGAAGGCCUUAGGGUCGUAAAUCACUGUGGGUAGGGACGAAAGGCAGACGGUUAAUAACCGGCUGAUUUGACGGUACCUACUUAGCAAGCACCGGCUAACUCCGUGCCAGCAGCCGCGGUAAUACGGAGGGUGCGAACGUUGCUCGGAAUUAUUGGGCGUAAAGCGCGUGUAGGCGGCAAUUUAAGUCGGAUGUGAAAGCCCUGGGCUUAACCCAGGAAGUGCGUUCGAUACUGGAUUGCUAGAGUAUGGGAGAGGGUAGCGGAAUUCUCGGUGUAGAGGUGAAAUUCGUAGAUAUCGGGAGGAACACCAGUGGCGAAGGCGGCUACCUGGACCAAUACUGACGCUGAGACGCGAAAGCGUGGGGAGCAAACAGGAUUAGAUACCCUGGUAGUCCACGCUGUAAACGAUGAGUGCUAGGUGUUGCGGGUAUUGACCCCUGCGGUGCCGAAGUUAACGCAUUAAGCACUCCGCCUGGGGAGUACGGCCGCAAGGCUA
RNAcentral lists this ribosomal RNA (895 nucleotides) under uncultured bacterium. RNAcentral's name for it is "bacterial SSU rRNA". It matches the Rfam family "Bacterial small subunit ribosomal RNA", at positions 26 to 896 of the family's 1533-position model. The record is from RNAcentral.